This is a long non-coding RNA of Orbicella faveolata, 603 nucleotides long. The record is from RefSeq and is a predicted model, not a curated record. NCBI's taxonomy places the organism in Eukaryota, Metazoa, Cnidaria, Anthozoa, Scleractinia, Merulinidae.
CCUUCAUUUCACUCCCAGAUCGUGAAUUUUACAACACCCAAGACUUCGACCCCCACGGUCAUUGUCUCAGCGUCUUAUCUUAAUCCAGUCCCCCAACAUAACAGCAUUGCCACUUGGGUAGAGCAAAUUACAACUAAAGGCUUCAAAGUGUGUCUCAAAGAACUUCAUAAUCAGAAUGGUUAUGACCCCGUGAAGGUGGCUGCUCUUAUCAUUGGUUCCUAACGGAUUACACAAUUACAACUCCGAUGCACUGAAAUGGAAAUGGCUCUGGAGUGCUGAAGGAAUAAAUAAUGUAAAACAGACCUUUCAUGAAUAUGAUUGAAUUAAAUAUAAUAUGAUUGUAACACAAAUUAUAAACUCAUCAUGGAUGAGAAAGUGUUUAAUGGCACUAUAAAUCAAAGUUGGAACAGAAUAAAAUUAUGUACAUCUAAUACAGUGUUUUUCUUUUGUUCUUGCUAACUUAGAACCGACAUUUUGUUAUUUAAUUUGCCAAUCCCCUUAGCUUCAAACGAUUUAAUAUCUCUUAUUGUUUUUUUUUUUUGAUCAAUUAAAGUUCUUUUAUUUGUAGCUGAAAGAAAAUAUUUUUUCCAUAAGGCAGUUCAA